AUUGAACGCUGGCGGCAUGCCUUACACAUGCAAGUCGAACGGCAGCACGGGAGCAAUCCUGGUGGCGAGUGGCGAACGGGUGAGUAAUAUAUCGGAACGUGCCCAGUCGUGGGGGAUAACGUAGCGAAAGCUACGCUAAUACCGCAUACGAUCUACGGAUGAAAGCGGGGGAUCGCAAGACCUCGCGCGAUUGGAGCGGCCGAUAUCAGAUUAGGUAGUUGGUGAGGUAAGGCUCACCAAGCCGACGAUCUGUAGCUGGUCUGAGAGGACGACCAGCCACACUGGGACUGAGACACGGCCCAGACUCCUACGGAGGCAGCAGUGGGGAAUUUUGGACAAGUGGGCGCAAGCCUGAUCCAGCAAU
Molecule: ribosomal RNA, 364 nt
Filed under: uncultured bacterium
Lineage: Bacteria
Description: bacterial SSU rRNA
Rfam family: Bacterial small subunit ribosomal RNA
Source: RNAcentral